RNAcentral lists this non-coding RNA (805 nucleotides) under Parochlus steinenii. Lineage: Eukaryota; Metazoa; Arthropoda; Insecta; Diptera; Chironomidae. The record is from RNAcentral.
UAUAUGUUUUAUUCUGGUUAAAUAAUUUACUUUAAUAAUAUUUUACAUGUAAAUUUAUGUGAGAAAUUUUUUAAUUCUUAAAGAAUUAUUUUUUAUAUUUUAUUCGCAGUAAUCGGUAUUGUUUAUAAAAGAAAUUUUGAAAUAGUAAUUUUUAUAAGUAUUGGUAAAAUUUGUGCCAGCUACCGCGGUUAUACAAAUAAUGCAAGUAAAUAUUAUUAUUAAUAGUUAAAAUAGCAUAAUUAAAAAUAAUUUAAUAAUUUUUAGGUGAAAUUUUAAAUUAUUAUUUAUUUUUAUGAAAAAAUUUUUUGAAGCUAAAAAUUUUUAAAUUAAAACUAGGAUUAGAUACCCUAUUAUUUAAAUAAUAAAUUUCGGUCGCAUUAGAGUACUAUUAGUUAUAUUCUUGAAACUUAAAGAAUUUGGCGGUGUUUUAGUCUAUUCAGAGGAAUCUGUUCUGUAAUCGAUAGUCCACGUUUUACCUUACUUAGUUUUGUUUUCAAUUUGUAUAUCGCCGUCAUCAGAAUAUCUUAGGAGAGAAAAUAAUUUUCUAACCUUUUAACUAUAAAUGAUGUCAGGUCAAGGUGCAGUUUAUGAUUAAGUAGAAAUGGAUUACAAUAAUAUUUAGUUAAAUGAAUUUUUUUAUGAAAUUAAAGAUUGAAGGUGGAUUUGAUAGUAAAUUUAUUAAACAAUUUAAAUUAAUUGAUUUUAGCUCUAAAACAUGCACACAUCGCCCGUCGCUCUCAUUAUUUAAUUAAAAUGAGAUAAGUCGUAACAUAGUAGAUGUACUGGAAGGUGCCUCUAGAAUGAC